UGGAAGUAAAAAUCGUAACAAGGUCUCCGUAGGUGAACCUGCGGAGGGAUCAUUAACGAUUUCGGUUUACGCCGUCUUCUACCUUUGUCUAUGCGUACCACAUGUUUCCUCGGGGGGCUUGCCUCCCGGUAGGACUCACUAUCAACCUUUUUGCAAUAGCAGUCAGCGUCUGAUAACUAAGUUAAUUAUUAAAACUUUCAACAAUGGAUCUCUUGGUUCUGGCAUCGAUGAAGAACGCAGCGAAAUGCGAUAAGUAGUGUGAAUUGCAGAAUUCAGUGAAUCAUCGAAUCUUUGAACGCACAUUGCGCCCCUUGGUAUUCCAUGGGGCAUGCCUGUUCGAGCGUCAUUUGAACCCUCAAGCUCUGCUUGGUGUUGGGCGUUUGUCCUGCUAUGGGACUCGCCUUAAAGCAAUUGGCAGCCAUGUAAUUCGGCUUUGAGCGCAGCACAUUGCGUACUCUAUGCUGGUACAUUGGCCUCCAGAAGCCCAUUUUUUACUCUUGACCUCGGAUCAGGUAGGGAUACCCGCUGAACUUAAGCAUAUCAAUAAGCCGGAGGA
This 556-nucleotide ribosomal RNA is filed under the name fungal endophyte sp. MS30. RNAcentral's name for it is "eukaryotic LSU rRNA". The stretch from base 193 to 346 matches the Rfam family "5.8S ribosomal RNA". Lineage: Eukaryota; Fungi. The record is from RNAcentral.